Molecule: ribosomal RNA, 495 nt
Filed under: uncultured bacterium
Lineage: Bacteria
Description: partial 16S ribosomal RNA
Rfam family: Bacterial small subunit ribosomal RNA
Source: RNAcentral
GACGAACGCUGGCGGCGUGCCUAAUACAUGCAAGUAGAACGCUGAAGGAGGAGCUUGCUUCUCUGGAUGAGUUGCGAACGGGUGAGUAACGCGUAGGUAACCUGCCUGGUAGCGGGGGAUAACUAUUGGAAACGAUAGCUAAUACCGCAUAAUAGCAGUUGUUGCAUGACAACUGUUUGAAAGGUGCAAAUGCAUCACUACCAGAUGGACCUGCGUUGUAUUAGCUAGUUGGUGGGGUAAAGGCUCACCAAGGCGACGAUACAUAGCCGACCUGAGAGGGGGAUCGGCCACACUGGGACGGAGACACGGCCCAGACUCCUACGGGAGGCAGCAGUAGGGAAUCUUCGGCAAUGGACGGAAGUCUGACCGAGCAACGCCGCGUGAGUGAAGAAGGUUUUCGGAUCGUAAAGCUCUGUUGUAAGAGAAGAACGAGUGUGAGAGUGGAAAGUUCACACUGUGACGGUAUCUUACCAGAAAGGGACGGCUAACUACGUG